AUGCUCUCUGGCUGCCCUGCCUUGGAAAGCCUUGAGCUGAUGAAAGUUUUUGGCAUUGAUCGCCUUUGCAUCAGCUCCCAAACUCUUAAAAGUUUACGCUUUUUCGCCGGCUGGACCAGUCAAGGUCUCUUUUUGCAUGAGUUAGUCAUUGAGGACGCCCCGUGCCUUGAGAGAUUGCUACGUCUUGAUCCAGUGGGCACAAAGUCCAUAAAGAUAAUUGGUGGGGCACCUAAACUGGCGAUAUUGGGUAUGCUGUCUGAAGAUAUAUCUGAACUCCACCUUGGAAGUUCAGUUUUUCAGAAAAUGAUUGCUGUCAGUUUGACCACCAAAAUGCACACCAUGAGGGUUUUGGCUCUCAGAUCUACUGGCCCUAAUUUGGAUGCAGUGGUUAACUUCCUCAAGUGCUUCCCUUGCUUGGAGAGGUUGUAUGUCAUUUUCAAGUCAUGGGAGGUUAUCAAUAAUGUCCGGAGUUAUGAUCCACUGGACCCAAUUGAAUCCCUUGAGCUCCAUCUCAAAAAUGUGGUGUUGAAGAAUUAUGACGGCACCAAGAGUUCAUCUAUUGACUUUGCCAAGUUCUUUGUUCUGAAUGCAAAAGUGCUAAAGGAAAUGAAAAUCACAUUGCCUUACCACCGCCGGCACAGAUGGUUUGCUAAGCAAUUCAGCCUGCUACGAGUCAGAAGUAGAGCUUCUCAAGAUGCUCAAAUUGAAAUGAGAUGUGGCAGUCACGAGUAUUUCACACACAUCAAGCGUACCCAUGAUUUGUCAACUGACGACCCCUUUGACUUGCCCUCCAUAGGGUGCUCAAAGUGUAAAGAGAAGGGUCUAGGAGAUGCGGUAUACCAAAUUUAA
RNAcentral lists this ribosomal RNA (849 nucleotides) under Triticum aestivum (bread wheat). RNAcentral describes it as "partial small subunit ribosomal RNA". Lineage: Eukaryota; Viridiplantae; Streptophyta; Magnoliopsida; Poales; Poaceae. The record is from RNAcentral.